AUUGAACGCUGGCGGCAUGCUUUACACAUGCAAGUCGAACGGUAACAGGCCUUCGGGUGCUGACGAGUGGCGAACGGGUGAGUAAUGCAUCGGAACGUGCCCAAUCGUGGGGGAUAACGUAGCGAAAGUUACGCUAAUACCGGCAUAAGCCCCUGAGGGGGGAAAAGUGGGGGACCGCAAGGCCUCACGCGAAUGGAGCGGCCGAUGUCAGAUUAGCUAGUUGGUGGGGUAAAGCCCACCAAGGCGACGAUCUGUAGCGGGUCUGAGAGGAUGAUCCGCCACGACUGGGACUGAGACACCGGCCCAGACUCCUACGGGAGGCAGCAGUGGGGAAUUUUGGACGAAUGGGCGCAAGCCUGAUCCAGCCAUGCCGCGUGCGGGACGAAGGCCUCGG
Molecule: ribosomal RNA, 394 nt
Filed under: uncultured bacterium
Lineage: Bacteria
Description: bacterial SSU rRNA
Rfam family: Bacterial small subunit ribosomal RNA
Source: RNAcentral